UACGUAGGUGACAAGCGUUGUCCGGAUUUACUGGGCGUAAAGAGCGCGCAGGCGGUCGAUCAAGUCGAGUGUGAAAGCCCCCGGCUCAACUGGGGUGGGUCAUUCGAUACUGAUCGACUCGAAGGCAGGAGAGGGUAGUGGAAUUCCCGGUGUAGUGGUGAAAUGCGUAGAUAUCGGGAGGAACACCGGUGGCGAAGGCGGCCUUCUGGACAGUGACUGACGCUGAGACGCGAAAGCGUGGGGAGCAAACAGG
This 253-nucleotide ribosomal RNA is filed under the name uncultured bacterium. RNAcentral describes it as "partial 16S ribosomal RNA". It matches the Rfam family "Bacterial small subunit ribosomal RNA", at positions 524 to 776 of the family's 1533-position model. The record is from RNAcentral.